RNAcentral lists this ribosomal RNA (403 nucleotides) under uncultured bacterium. Its description in RNAcentral is "bacterial SSU rRNA". It matches the Rfam family "Bacterial small subunit ribosomal RNA", at positions 355 to 774 of the family's 1533-position model. The record is from RNAcentral.
UGGGGAAUCUUGCACAAUGGGCGAAAGCCUGAUGCAGCAACGCCGCGUGCGGGAAGAAGGCCCUAGGGUUGUAAACCGCUUUCAGCAGGGAAGAAGAUGACGGUACCUGUAGAAGAAGGUGCGGCCAACUACGUGCCAGCAGCCGCGGUGACACGUAGGCACCAAGCGUUGUCCGGAUUUAUUGGGCGUAAAGAGCUCGUAGGCGGUUCGGUAAGUCGGGUGUGAAAACUCUGGGCUCAACCCAGAGCCGCCACCCGAUACUGCUGUGACUUGAGUUCGGUAGGGGAGCGGGGAAUUCCUGGUGUAGCGGUGAAAUGCGCAGAUAUCAGGAGGAACACCAGUGGCGAAGGCGCCGCUCUGGGCCGAGACUGACGCUGAGGAGCGAAAGCGUGGGUAGCAAACA